UUUAUUUUCUUAGCUUUUUAGGGCCACACCUGCCGCAUAUGGAAGUUUCCAGGUGUCCAAAUGGAGCUGUGUCUGCUGGCCUACGCCACAGCCACAACAACGCAGGAUCUGAGCCAUGUCUGGGAUCUACACCACAGUUCACCUCAAUGCUGGAUCCUUAACCCACUGAUGAGUUAAGGAUUUGGCAUUGUCAUGAGCUGUGGUGUAGGUCACAGGUGUGGCCCAGAUGUUAUGGCUGUGGUGUAAGCCAGCAUCUGUAGCUACAAUUCAACCCCUAGCCUGGGAACUUCCAUAUGCCAAGGGUGCAAUCCUAAAAAGCAAAAAUAAAUAAAUAAGAAGCAUAAUAUAAUAGUGGAAGGAGGUCACCACCAAGCAGAAGAAUGUGCUGGGGUCCUGGUUUAUUCUGGAACAAUAGGGAAUCAAGAAUAAGCACUGGUCAGCUGGGCAACUGCUCAGGAUCCCAGGCGAAACCAGUCUGUGAGAAGUGCUAAAUAAAACCUCACUGAAAUCCACCAGAAAUGCGGUGUCAGGUAACACAGAUUUCCACCUGCCCCUCCUUACAUAACAGAAGACAGUCAGCUAGCCCCGUCCCUUGUCCUAGAAAGCAAAGUACCUGUAGUCACCACAUAAAUCCAUACAAACAGCAGGAGACAGCUGCACAGCACACCACCAACUCUGCACCAGCCAGCUGAUUAUUUAGGAAUACACCCCAAGAGCUGUAUACGAGAUGGAAACUCUUGUAAUAAGUCUUUUGGGUUUUUAACUAAAUAAAGAGGUACAUCUUUUUCAUGAAUCAAAACUGUUUUCCUGUCCCUCCCACAUAAGUGCUAAAUUGAGAUUUGAAUACUCUAAGGUUGAUAAGAUAUUAAUUAUGAGCUUGUUGGGUGAACCCAUAUGUCUCAGGUGGCCCUGGACAAAUCAUAUGACCUUUAAGAGUCAAUUGAUGACUGCACUUCAAGAUGUUAUGGACAUUCUUUCUCCUGGAAAACUCACAGGCAUUAUUUCCUGAAUGGAAGCCCAACUCUCCCAGUGUUUUAGAUCAUAAACAUAUUUGUUCAGGUUAAAAAAAAAAAAAAGUCAAUUGACAACAUUGUACAUCAACUCUAAUUAAAAAAAAAAAAAAGAAGUCAAUCUGAAUUUCAAGAGUAAAUAGCCAAAGGGUAAAGAAAGUGGCCAUGAUAUCAAUGAACAAACCAUUUCAUGCUUCUAUGCCUUUGGCUUACUGUUCCUUCUCCCUGGGGUGUCCUGCUGUAGUCCACUCCCCCCCUCUUACUGAUGUGGCCAUCUCAAGGUCAAAUCAAGGAGGAGGUCAGGCCCAUCCAGGCAAGUAGGAGAGGGUAUCCUGGCUUUCACCUUUAUUUAUUUAUUUUGUCUUUUUAGGGCCACACCUGCAGCAUAUGGAGGUUCCCAGACUAGGUGUCGAAUCUGGCCUAUGCCACAGCCACAGCAACACCAGAUCUGAGCCAUGUCUUUGAUCUACACCACAGCUCACAGCAAUGCCAGAUCCUUAACCCAUUGAGCAUGGCCAGGAUACUAGUCCUCAUGGAUACUAGUAAGGCUCGUUAACCGCUGAGCCACAACAGGACUCUGAUAUCCUGGCUUUCGCCUUUAAAUGGCCAUUGGUCUUAACCUCACUUGGUCAUCUGGGUGGACUCAUCUACAGGGGAAACUGUAGAUGACCUAAAAUGGGAAGGUGCCCCUUUCUGGCAUCUCAGUGGCUCUUAGCUUCUCCUCAAGUGGAGAAGCAACAGCCAGAGUCAACUCCAGGUGUCUUGCCAAAGGAUGGAUCAGCACAGGGAAAGAUAUCUGAAGUUUACAAGUCACACCACCCCAAGAAGGGGCAGCCCUCUGAUGCCACAGGGUUCAAAAGACCAAUAUACGCUCCCCUCUCCCCACGCCAGCCCUGCCCAGACCAUCUGCACAGAUUGAAUCUCUCCCACUUUCUCUUGCUCCCCCGGGAAAACUAAAUCUCAUCUGUCUGCAGUUAGCAGAAGCCCGGAGUAACUGGAUUCGCUGCUGGAACAAAAGAUAUAUGUGACGUUAACAGUUCAUUGAGCUGUGAGAUGAACAAGACGGGUGUUGAAGAGGAAACUUGAGCUGAGAGUACAUUUCCAGUGUUAAUAAAGCUUCCCUUUUGUUGUAUGUUUCCAAACACUGACUUCAGGAUGGGCGCCAUCCGUUUCCUUCCAGAAUUAGACAGCCCUGCAGAUUUAAAGCAUCGAGACAUCAUUCAGCCCUAUUAAUGGCCAGCACCAGGUGCUGUGUCAGGAAGUUGCCCCCAUCUUUAGCUCCAGCUGCAAUUAUUUCACUGGCUUGGCAAAGCAUAUACCUCCUGUUCACCCAGAGGACAUGCACACAGAUAAUAGCGCAUCAGAGGAAACCACCGAAUUCCAAAACUCAGACUUGCCAUAGGAGGAUACUUAUGUGGCGAUGCCAUCAGCAAUAUAAAAGUGGAAGCCACCUCUGUGCCCAAUGACUGGUCAUUGGUUAAUUAAAUUAUGAAGAGGCACGCAUGACAAAGUUCUACUUGGCCCUUCCAAAGGCUGCCAUAGAAGUAUAGUUGUGGACACGGAAAGAGGUUCAUGAUUUAUUGCAAAGUAUUAAAAAAAAAAAAGCAAGAUAUAUAACAGUAUGUAAAACGUGGUCCCAUUUGUAUACUAAAUGUAAGGAGAAAGAGAAAGAGAUGUUGUGUUCUAGCUUCUAGGAAGGAUGGACCUGCUAAACUGAAAGCUGUUAUCACCUUGAUGGUUUAAGAUAAAUGACAAUUGACCUUGGGUGUAGGUGCCCAGGAGGGCCAAAGAGCUCUGCAUUAUAGACAAGGAAGUGGAGCUCUUGGGGGGUUGUUCCUGGAGGGGGAAAGUGGAGGAAGUGGAGAGAUGAAAUAAUAGAAAAGGGAAGAAAGGAGUUCCCACUGUGGCUGAGUGGGUUAAGGAGAGAGUAUCCAUGAGGAUGCUAGUCAGGAUACUCCAACUAGUAUCCGUGAGGAUUCAGGUUCGAUCUCUGGCCUCGCUCAGUGGGUUAAGGAGCUGACAUUGCUGCAAACUGCAGAAUAGGUCACAGAUAUGGCUUGCAUCCUGUGUUGCUGUGGCAUAGGGCUGGCAGCUGCAACUCACAUUUGACCCCUAGUCCAGGAAUUUCCAUAUGCUGUGGGUGCAGCCAUGAAAAAAAAAAAAAAGAAAGAAAGAAAGAAAGAAAGAAAGAAAGAAAGAAAGAAAAAGAAAAAGGAAUAAGAUCACGGUGAGGCAAAAUGUGUCCUCCAGAAAGAGCUGUUAAAGUCUGUGAAUGCGACCUUCUUUGGAAAUGGCUAAAAUGACAUUGUAACUAAUGACGAUGGGUCCUCAUCCUAUGACAUGACUGCCGUCCUUCUCAGAGGAGGAAGCAGAGGCUCAGGUAGGAGAACGCCACGUGAACCCAGAGACACUCAGACACAGAAGGCAGGUGGCCAUGCAAAGACAGAGACAGAGAUUGGUGACACUGCCACAAGGCACACAACACCUGGGGCUUCCAGAAACUGGAAAAAGCAAGGGGGGACAUCCUAUUCCAGAGAUUUUGGAGGGAGCGCGGCCUCAACCACACUUCCACUUUGCAAGGCUUUUAGCCCCCAGAACUGUCCCAGAAUAAAUUUCUGGUGUUUGAAAACACCCAGCUUGUGGCACUUUGUGAUGGCCAAUAGGUGCCCAGGAGGAUGGAGACAGACCCCCACUCCAUGAAUGUGACUGUUCCCCUUGGAGACCUGCUGUGGAUGUGGGUACUGCCCAGCACAAGAUCUACGCCCUUUCCUGAAAUGUGGAGCAUAGAUUAACCACCCACAAGGAUUCACUGCCCUCUGUCACGGGACUCGACCAUCUACCCCCUCCCUUGACCUUCCCCUCCUCCUUCAUCGUUCCUGCCACACGUUUCCGCCAUGAACUCCAGCCACAGAUUCCCACCACAGAGCAUUCAUAAGCUUAGCAUCUCCUCACAGUCAGAGCUGGCACAUUUUGAGCUCAGCCCGUGCCCUUCUGAUGCCUUAAUAAAUCUUUCUUGCUUUAUCAGCCGGGGGGCUUGCAUGUUCCUCCCUCGGCAAACCUAACAUUUGGUGCCGAAACCCAGGAGGGAAUGGCCAGGGAACGGGAAGCAGGUCCGCGGAGCCCAAAACUCCUGGGUGUGCAACCGGGAGAGCAGCGGGCAGAGGCAGCUGGUCCUGGGAUAAUCAUAGGAUCCCACCCAGGUUUGGGCCCCUGAUCCAGGCACCUCCCCACCAACCCUCUGGAGCCCAGCCACGGAGGAACACUGAACUGGGAACUUGGCCUUUCCACAUCCAACUCCAUCCUACCAACUCCACAUCCAACACCGGCCUCCUAAUUCUCAGGUGAGUAAUUGCCACCUUUCUGGGUCUUCUGUCAGCACAGCCACCAAGCCCGGGUUCAUCUCAGACAAAUCCUAGCACUAGGUCAGAAGACUCCAGGCCACGGCCCCGGUUCCUCUGAUCGCAGUGACCGAGCGGGUAAAGAACAUGAUUAGGGAGUGCCCGAGGUGGCUCAGCAGGUUAAGAACCUGACAUAGUAUCUAUGAGGAUUCGGGUUCGAUCCCUGGCCUCAUUCAGUGGGUUAAGGAUCUGAUGUCGCCACCAGCUGCAGCGUAUGUCGCAGAUGUGGCUCAGAUCCAGUGUUGCUGAGGCUGUGGCAUAGGCCUGCAGUUGCAUUUCCAAUUCAACCCCUAGCCCAGGAACUUCCAUAUACUGCAGGUGUGGCCAUAAAAAGAAAAAAAGAAAAGAAAUUGCAAUUUUAAAAAAAAUAACAUAAUAAGGAUGGAGAUGCCUUAAGUCUCUUUAAAGCCAUCAGCAUGUCUAUGAUAUAAACUCC
Molecule: long non-coding RNA, 4844 nt
Filed under: Sus scrofa (pig)
Lineage: Eukaryota; Metazoa; Chordata; Mammalia; Artiodactyla; Suidae
Description: lncRNA (ENSSSCG00050004817.1)
Source: RNAcentral